Molecule: small nucleolar RNA, 92 nt
Organism: Microcebus murinus (gray mouse lemur)
Lineage: Eukaryota; Metazoa; Chordata; Mammalia; Primates; Cheirogaleidae
Gene: SNORD116
Rfam family: Small nucleolar RNA SNORD116
About the family: HBII-85 is a member of the C/D class of snoRNAs, which contain the C (UGAUGA) and D (CUGA) box motifs.
Source: Ensembl
GGAUUGAUGAUGACUGCCAAAUACACAUUCCUUGGAAAGCUGAACAAAAUGAGUGAAAACUCUAUACCGUUGUCCUCAUCGAACUGAGGUCC